Molecule: ribosomal RNA, 231 nt
Filed under: uncultured Staphylococcus sp.
Lineage: Bacteria; Bacillati; Bacillota; Bacilli; Caryophanales; Staphylococcaceae
Description: partial 16S ribosomal RNA
Rfam family: Bacterial small subunit ribosomal RNA
Source: RNAcentral
AGUAACACGUGCAUAACCUACCUAUAAGACUGGGAUAACUUCGGGAAACCGGAGCUAAUACCGGAUAAUAUUUUGAACCGCAUGGUUCAAAAGUGAAAGACGGUCUUGCUGUCACUUAUAGAUGGAUCCGCGCUGCAUUAGCUAGUUGGUAAGGUAACGGCUUACCAAGGCAACGAUGCAUAGCCGACCUGAGAGGGUGAUCGGCCACACUGGAACUGAGACACGGUCCAG